Xyrichtys novacula (pearly razorfish) is the source of this 6026-nucleotide non-coding RNA. Lineage: Eukaryota; Metazoa; Chordata; Actinopteri; Labriformes; Labridae. The record is from the annotation of a GenBank genome assembly.
UUCUGUUCUGCUGUUUGUCUUCACGGUUCUUUCACAAUCUGGAGUAGAGCAGAGGGGAUGCUGGGACAUCCACCUCUCUGCAGAGCGCACAUAUCUGAUCAUAAAGCUAAAUUUAAACCAAAGUGACUGCGUGCGUCGUGUGUGUAUGACUUCAUAUUUACAUGCCCUCGCUAUUCGGUGAACGUAUGAGCAAGCGGCCUGAUAUUCAAGGAUUGUGACACGACAUUAAUGCACAGCCAAGAGGUCCAAACACACAGAAUCAUGCUGUUGUGCUGUGUUCGUCAAAGGUUCAACAUGUUCACACCUUUUAGCUGAACCUCAGCUUUGGAAACACAACUCUUCUGCUGCUGUAUAUAAACCGGCUAUAACUCAGAUUUAGUGGAAACGCCCAUAAAUAGCUGAAGUCGUCAUAGGAGUCGGAGGACAGUAACAACAAUGGCCGGUCUUCUUGGCCAUGGUCUUCUCCAUCAUCUUCUCGAUCUUUCAGAGGAGGUUUUCGUUUUUAAAAAGGUAGAUCACCUUCUCCGGGUCGGAGAGGCGGUCCUGCCUCAAGUGGAGGAGGUCAAGUAUCUCAGGAUCUUGUUCACGAGUGAGGGUAGGAUGGAGCGGGAGAUCGACAGGCGGAUCGGAGCGGUGUCAGCAGUGAUGCGGACGCUUAACCGAUCAGUCGUGGUGAAGAAAGAGCUGAGCCGUAAGGAGAGACUCUCGAUUUACCGGUCGAUCUACGUGCCGAUCCUCACCUAUGGUCAUGAACUUUGGGUAAUGACCGAAAGAACGAGAUCUCAGAUACAAGCGGCUGAAAUGGGUUUCCCUCUCAGGGUGUCCGGGCUCAGCCUUAGAGAUAGGGUAAGGAGCUCGGACACUCAGGAGGCGCUCAGAGGAGAACCGCUGCUCCUCCACAUCGAGAGGAGUCAGCUGAGGUGCCUUCUGGACGCCUCCCGUUCAAGGUGUUCGGGACAUGUCCCACCAGGAGGAGACCUCAUGGCCGGCCCAGGACCAGGUGGAGGGAUUAUAUCUCUCGCCUGUCCUGGGAGCGCCUGUGAAUCCCCCUGGAGGAGCUGGUGGAAGUGGCUGAGGUGAGGGCCGUAGCUGCUGCCCCCGCGACCUGGACCCGGAUGAAGCAGAAGAAAACGACGACGACGACGCAAACAGCUCAAAUUUUCACCCCAACAGAAAAUGUUCGGUCGGAUUCAUCGUGAAAUAGUCAGCAAAUGGAGUUGAUGUCAGCUGUAUCACGCACUUGUUGCAAACCAAGAAGAGCAAGAGUAGAUUUCUGAGCGUCGUCCAAAAACCAUGAUGUACACAUUGCACUGAGGCUGCCUGAUUUCAACCUCAUCUCUCUUAACCUCCAGGGAAGACCUCACCCUGAAAGAUGUACAAAACAUAAACUCUAAAAAAGUUUCUUAAAGAGGGUUGAAGCAAAAGAGUCGAACAGGAUGAGAAAUCAGAGUCGCACAGAUGACAAAGUUUCUGAACAACUAGUUUGACUUUUUCCCAAAAAUACCAGUUAUUUGUUGUUGUUUUUUUAAAGUCAUGUUGGACUCAGCAGAGAGAGAAAACACUUGUGUGUGCAUUUCUAAUUUCCUCCGCAUCACUGCGAACAUAACCUCAAACCAGAGAGAGGAAGAUCAGUGAGAUGAUGAUGGAGCAGAAACGUGAAAGUUUAGUUCAUGUUCACACUCGGCUGCUUUACCAUGAGUGUGUGUUUAAGUGUGUUUGUGUGUGUGUGUGUUUGCGUGUGUUUGUGUGUGUGUGACCGUUUCAACUCGAUUUUCUCUCAGAUGUAUUGACAGCGGCGAGCGGAGAUGGAGAGCUCGACAUGUUUCUCAGAAAAAGCAGGAGACAGGGAGCCAUCACUCUUCUCUUCUCACCACACGUCCCCCCCUCUUCAUCCUCCUCCUCCUCCUCCUCCUCACCGCUCUUCUCCUGCGCUGAAGACGUAAGUGCCUUAGACAGAUGUCUGCUGCCUCUUGUCUAAAACCCUCAACGCGAGCUGCUGAGCUUGGCAAACUCUAAUUAAGAUCAAUAUUUCAAUUUUUAGUAAAAGCGCACGAGACGAGAGAAGACAAGAGGGAGAGAAAUCAUUUGUCCACGAAGACGUAGAGAGACAAAAAGAGAGGUCAACUGUGAUUCUUCAUCCUCCGAGUAUGUGUGUGUGUGUGUGUGUGUGUGUGUGUGUGUGUGUGUGUGUGUGUGUGUGUGUGUGUGUGUGCUGAGGAGAGUGUAUUUGACUCUUCUGAGGUUCCUCUGUAUUUGUCUCUUUUUCAGAUUUUACCCACUCAGUGAACAAACCGAGGUCUGAAACUAACUUUUGAUUGACAGGUGGUGAAAGCAGGGCGGUCAGGUGAUCCCACAGGUGGUCGGCGUCCGUCUAGAACAGGUACACACUCCAGGAUGAUCCAGACUUUUUUUUACAUCCAGAAUGAUGACGUUGAAGGACAGAGGCGCCAGGUUUGAGGACUAAUACAGAUUGGGGUUCACCUGAAGGACGCCAAUUGCAGUGGCGUUUGCAGUGGCGUAGGUCGGCCCUGCACCCUCAGCAGCCAUGUUGACCAUCUCCUCAGACAUCCGCCCUUUUUUUUCUCCUCAAUGCGUGAUCGACUGCUGCACGUUUAUCAGCUUCACCUCAAAUCUACUAAACUUUAGGAUUUAGUUGCCAUGGUUACCUGUAAACAAACACAGCAAGAGAAGAAAGUGUCAAUAUGACGAGCAUUUACGUCACACUGCCAUCUAGCUUUUUGGUGGAGUAUUGCGGACGAACGAGAGGCCCGAUCCCAAACCGCCCCCUACACACUCACCCUUCUCUCAGGGUAUGGGACGCCCUCCUCACUACAACGGAAAACAGAAAGAUUCAUCGCCAUAGCAACACAAAGACGUGUCCUGUGCAUGGCAGCGUUUCUUUUCUUAGUAAACGGGCAUCAUGUUCAGUUCUGAUCCACUCCUGCUGCCUCGUUUUUUCAUUUUCCAAGUAAAAUCAUAAAUCCAGUUUUCAUCACAGUGACAGAAGAAGAACUAUACUUCUGAUUGUUCGUGAUUCCACACGUCUUUGAACCCUUUUACUCUUUGACAUGAGCCUGACCAAUCAGAUCAAACAUCGGCACAGAGUAAGAUUUUUGAGUUUCCAUUUAAUCUUUCCAAACCACGUCUUUUGUGAUAUUUUUUUCUCAGUAAGACAAAGUUGGACACAUACAGGACUUAUAUUUUAUAUGUUUUUUCCUCCUCCUCUUUCAUUUUUGCCGGCGCACUACCUGCAAAUCCUGUCAUGAGUGUGCACAGGUACAGACUCACUAUUGAAGGGCUGAACGGUCCACUCACCCUCCUCACUCUGUGGUUUGGGACGGCCUUCAAUAUGGCGGAGGGGAAGUGUGUAGAGGGCGGUUUUUUUGUCUCCACAGCAGAGUUUAAGUUCUUAUGGGUCAAAUCUAGACCUGUGAUUGGAUGUUCAACCACUGCAGCAACACGGUUCCUGGUUCUCUGACUGCCUGAUAGUGUUGUGUCAUUCACGAACGAUUCGUUCAAAAGAACUGAAUCUUUCAAGUGAACGUACUGAACCGAAUCACUUCCUCGAGUGAUUCGUUCGUUUCUCACUUCAGUUGAGCUGAAGUGAGAAACAGCAUGACGUCUGAAAUAAUCGCAUGAAAAAAACGCUCCCGGUGUGUAAGGACCUUUAUAAACAAGAUCAUUUUUACAAACCUGUUUGCCAGAGAAACACAGACAAACACUCUUGUCUCCCGGUCCCAGAAGCUCUGAUCUGAACUGAAUCCUGAACCGUUCAGCUGUGUGUCAGCUCAGGAGGUCGGAGUCGCAGGCUUCUCCCGCCAAACGCUACAUGAUUCAGUGAUUUAGUGAACGAAUCUUUUUAGUGAACUGAUUCUAGUGAUUCAGUACAUCUAAAAGAACUGCCGUGCCCAUCACUACUGCCUGAGUGCAUGAAUGGCGGUCUCUUCCGCCCAAUGACAGCCUGAAUACCCUCUGAUAAAGUCAGUCUACAGUUAGACGCCCGUGUUCCUGUCUUGUUUUCACUCGGUCUGUUGCUCUUAUCAGUUCUUCUCUGGUGAACAAACAUGAUUUCUUUACAGCUUCAUACAUGUGAUGAAACUCUGAUUCCUCAGUAAGCCUCAGUGUUAACUUCUCUGUCCGUGCACACGUGUGUGUGUGUGUCACAUCCCCGCACAAUUAAAGCUGAAUCCUCCACGGCAGCAUUAGUGGCUUAACAGCGCUAACAAAAACCCCUCCAGGCCUGAGAUAACCCUGAGCCACCUCCCAGAGCCCGGCUGGAGGAUCUAGAUGCCGGCUACCUUGACUCAAAGCUCGCCUCACGCCCGGCUCAAAGCGCCCGUCGAUCCUCCACCUUGCUGAUGUCCAUUUUGCUUAAAUCGAGAGAACUGCACUUGCAGCGAAGUCUCAAUAUGCAAAGGCACAAUGAAAACCCUGACUUCAAAAAUUUAUGUCUCAAGCCCCCGGCCGCAGACACUCCCCUUCCCCUGACAAUGAAUGGACCACAGCAGAUCUUCUUAAACGUUUCAAUGCAGAAUGCUUAGCUCUGCGUUUACGGACCAGCUCCUGCUUAUUUGAUAAAAAAAGAAAGAAACCUCUAAUGACUUAGCGCUACUAAACUUCAAAUACCUCGAUAUGAUUUCCAUCCCUUCAUCUCCUACUCUUCUUUUCAUCCUCGCCAGCAGAUUUGAAGAGGAGGGGGGACGCGUAUUUCAUGGCCAUUCGGACUGGAAGUUAAGCUCAGCAGCUGUGCAAGGUUUUCCUCCUCACAUCUGACCAAGUUAAACUUACAGCCACCUGUUUUUUUCCGCACAUCGGCACUUUAAACGCAGAUAUAUCACUCAUAUAUGUGCUGCUAGAUGGGACUCAGGGGGGUAACCGCUGCUGCUGAAGAGGCUAAACGGGUCAGGAGUAGAGCUGUCCCGGUUUAAGUCCUGCUCCCAUGAUACCAUCGACAUCCUGCCCACCCUCCCCGCCCCCUCAAACCCUCUCCUCCUCCUCCUCCUCCUCCUCCUCUAACCCCAGAAAAAAAAGACAUAUGUGUCCGGGAUGGAGACGCACGGAGGGGCUUAAUUAUCCGUCGAUCCGUGGAGAUGAGACUGGAUGCAAUUUGUGGUUAAUUGCGAAUGAAAACCCCGCAGACCAGCGCCAGGACCAUCCAAUCAUACUUAACCCGCGCGCAGCCACAGCGGCCUCCUUACAUCCUCGCGGAAAUGCGCAUUGAUUUCUGGGUAGAGGGGGGGGCGCGGCCUCAGAUCGAUCAGUAUUGAUAGAUUUGGUAGUUUGUGGUGUCAGAAUCAUCCUCGGACUUCUCUUAAAGAGACUUGGAUGAGUUUAGUGGAUCAAAUCAGCUGUUUUUAAUACGGAGAAGAAGAGACUCUGAGUUUAAUGACAACUUGACAAGAACUUGUUUGGACCUUCUGUCUGUUUUUCUUGUUAUUAGACUUUAUUAUCAUCUUUAUCGACAUAAAACCGUCUUCUUUCAAAUGUUUGAUUUUACAAAAACACACAAAAAUAAAGACAAGUUUAGUUCUGGUUUAGUUGUGCCAGUGUAGGGGAGACCGGGGUUGGUUAUCACGCCUCUCAUUCUCAGGUCUCAUCCAUAGACUGUUUAUACUUCGUUCCGCCUUUCGCCAGUAUACGGGUUUGAAGUCGAAUCGCUCUCGGUAAUUCUGCGUUUUUUCUCCAUGUCCUAAAACCAACAUUGUGAAGUAGCGUUGUACGCAUUUGGCGGGAGAGUCGCGGAGAGUCACUGUGAUGACAUUCGGCUCUGACGGCGUUUCCCCCAGGUGAACGAUGCAAUCUUCGUACGUAUUAAGUGUCUAGUAACUACAUGUCAACAUCGAAACCAGGGGGGAGAAACAUUUAUAUUCUGUGUAAUAAAUCUCUAAAGUUUGUCCACAGCUCCAUAGGGAUUGCUGGAGGAGGCGGGAUUUAUGACCUAUACUGCAGCCCGUCACCAGAGGGUGCUGAGGAGGCAGACGGCGUCCAUCCUAUCUUCAGUCUAUGGUCUCCUCAUGAUCAGAGCG